This 258-nucleotide ribosomal RNA is filed under the name uncultured bacterium. RNAcentral's name for it is "partial 16S ribosomal RNA". It matches the Rfam family "Bacterial small subunit ribosomal RNA", at positions 524 to 776 of the family's 1533-position model. The record is from RNAcentral.
UACGUAGGGUGCAAGCGUUGUCCGGAAUUAUUGGGCGUAAAGAGCUCGUAGGCGGUUUGUCGCGUCGGCUGUGAAAACUCGGGGCUCAACCCCGAGCCUGCAGUCGAUACGGGCAGACUAGAGUGCGUGUAGGGGAGACUGGAAUUCCUGGUGUAAGCGGUGAAAUGCGCAGAUAUCAGGAGGAACACCGGUGGCGAAGGCGGGUCUCUCGGGCGAGUAACUGACGCUGGAGGAGCGAAAGCGUGGGGAGCAAACAGG